UCAGUUCAGAUCGUAGGCUGCAACUCGCCUACGUGAAGGAGGAAUCGCUAGUAAUCGCAGGUCAGCAUACUGCGGUGAAUACGUUCCCGGGCCUUGUACACACCGCCCGUCACACCAUAGAAGUUGGCCACGCCCGAAGCCGUUACUCCAACCCUCGGGAGGAGGACGUCGAAGGUGGGGCUGAUGACUGGGGUGAAGUCGUAACAAGGUAUCCGUACCGGAAGGUGCGGAUGGAUCACCUCCUAA
RNAcentral lists this ribosomal RNA (246 nucleotides) under uncultured cyanobacterium. Its description in RNAcentral is "partial 16S ribosomal RNA". It matches the Rfam family "Bacterial small subunit ribosomal RNA", at positions 1288 to 1533 of the family's 1533-position model. The record is from RNAcentral. Lineage: Bacteria; Bacillati; Cyanobacteriota.